GGGAAUGAUGAGUUUUCAGACUAGAGUCUCUGACACAUGCAUUGGAGACAAGAAAACCACUCUGACCC
This is a small nucleolar RNA of Sarcophilus harrisii (Tasmanian devil), 68 nucleotides long. Ensembl annotates it as small nucleolar RNA, C/D box 52. The record is from Ensembl. NCBI's taxonomy places the organism in Eukaryota, Metazoa, Chordata, Mammalia, Dasyuromorphia, Dasyuridae.